Pelobates cultripes (western spadefoot toad) is the source of this 93-nucleotide non-coding RNA. The record is from the annotation of a GenBank genome assembly. NCBI's taxonomy places the organism in Eukaryota, Metazoa, Chordata, Amphibia, Anura, Pelobatidae.
AGCUUUAUUGGGGCAAAAGCAGCAACGUUCUGGGCCUACUGGGUCUUUAUUCAAGUAGGGUCAAAAUGUUGCUGCUUUUGCCCCAAUAACGCU